AACGAACGCUGGCGGCAUGCCUAACACAUGCAAGUCGAACGAGACCUUCGGGUCUAGUGGCGCACGGGUGCGUAACGCGUUGGAACCUGCCCUUAGGUUCGGAAUAACUCCCCGAAUGGGGUGCUAAUACCGGCUAAUGUCUUCGGACCAAAGAUUUAUCGCCUUUGGAUGGGCUCGCGUUGGAUUAGCUAGUUGGUAGGGUAAAAGCCUAUCAAAGCGACGAUCCAUAGCUGGUAUGAGAGGCUGAUCAGCCACACUGGGACUGAGACACGGCCCAGACUCCUACGGGAGGGAGCAGUGGGGAAUAUUGGAAAAUGGGGGGAAGGCUGAUCGAGCAAUGACGGGUGAGUGAUGAAGGCCUUAGGGUUGUAAAGCUAUUUUACCCGGGAUGAUAAUGACAGUACCGGGAGAAUAAGCUCCGGCUAACUCCGUG
RNAcentral lists this ribosomal RNA (433 nucleotides) under uncultured bacterium. RNAcentral's name for it is "partial 16S ribosomal RNA". It matches the Rfam family "Bacterial small subunit ribosomal RNA", at positions 29 to 507 of the family's 1533-position model. The record is from RNAcentral.